RNAcentral lists this long non-coding RNA (1864 nucleotides) under Nicotiana benthamiana. Its description in RNAcentral is "long non-coding RNA (NBEN_LNC009237)". The record is from RNAcentral. Lineage: Eukaryota; Viridiplantae; Streptophyta; Magnoliopsida; Solanales; Solanaceae.
UUUUCACAUAACAUAAACACUACCACCCUCUCUUCUCUUCCACUCCUCCUCUAUUGCCGCCGUCACUCUCCGUGAUGGCACCACCGCCUGUCGCCGUCUACCCGUGGAAAAACACCCUCCAACCAAUUCCAAUCUAUUCAUUUCCUCCUCCUCUACCCUAAUCCAAGUCCCAAAUCCCUCGAAUCCCCCUCAAACGCCAUAAAUCUAGCCAAAUCUGAAACCCUAGCCGCCUAAAUUUUCCUACUUUCAUUCAAUGAACUAGUAACAAAUAUGAACAUCCAACCCCAUAAAUAUUACCUAAACGUAUAUAUCUCAAGGAUAUAUACACUUUCAUUCUAGAUUCACCCCCAAAAAGGCAUCAUCAUCGACCACCCACUGCCUCGCUGUCCAAACACCACUGCCACCAGUCCACUGACCCCUCUAUUUUUUUAGCCUAGUUUCGACCCAAGAACUUUUGUUUCUUAUUGGUAUGAUGUUGGGUUCAUUGAGUUCAGCGUAUCCCUAAAGGAAACAAACAUUCCAAGGUCAAAAAGCUACCAUUUGGCGUCCUCAACAUCGUCUAGUUGCUCGAUUCGACGUUAGAUGUCCCGGAGUUAGGAAUAAACCUCGAACCUUUAUACUUCCUCUAAAGUUUUGAUUCUUCUUUUUUUGUGUCAUUUUCUUGUAGUUUAAAUUCUGAUUUUUUAUUGUUGGGUUUUGUAUAACCUUCAUCAUCUCACUAUUUUUUUAUUUUUGACAGUGAUACAUUUAGUUUGCACCUUUGAUUUCUGUUUUGAUCAAUCACUCUAAUUAGACUUACAAGUUAGUUAUUGAUUAAUUAUCUUUGUUUAUCUUAAUUUUUUAUGUUAGUUUAAUUGUUCACUUAGUUAGUUGAUUUUACUCGUUGUUCGAUAGUUUACUAAUGUUCAAUUAAGUUUUUGGGCAGUGUUUUCUUAUUUCAAUUGCCCACUGUUAGUUCUCAUUUGCCGAUUAGAUUUAGUUUAGUUCGUUUGGAUAUUUAGUUCAAUUACAAUUGAAGUCAUACCCUAGCUUUUCCUAUUCAUAGUUGGUUUGAGUAUGAGUGUGUUAGUUUGAAUUUUAAUCAUAAUAAAUUUGAAUGUUUGUUGAGCGUAGGAUACUUAUUUUGCUACUUUUUCUGUUAAUAGGUUGUUUGGAGUACAUUGCUCCUAGCACUGUUCAUAGUUGGUGAAAAAAUUGUCUUUUGGACAGAUUUUUGCUUUGAAUUGUUAGGACCGAUUUUAGGUGGGAAAUUCGUCCUUUUGACAGAUUGAGUGAAAUAAUUUAAUCCCUUUCCUUUCCUAUAAAUGAAGAGGUCUUUCCUCACUUAAGGAGGAUCUGGUACACACAAAAAAGGGGGCAGAUUUUUUAACACUCUAAUACCCAAAAAAAAAUCAUCUUUUACCUCAAAAAAGGGGCACAUAUCUUAAAUAAAAUCAGUAGCUGUGUACAUAUGACAAGCUGAAAUUUCAGAGCUUUUGUACUAGUUCAAGUGCUUUUCUUGUUGGGGUUUUUAGGGGUAUUCUUGAGUCUGUUGCUUCUGUUUGCUACUGUCUGUUUGGUGUUGCUGUCGCCGGGUUUUAGUGUACGCUCUGUUUGUUAGUUUAACAUCUUCAAAGUUCAUUGUUGCUACUAAAAUUAUGCAAUUAGGUAACUUUUUCAACCUUUAGAAUAAUUAUCUUUACAAUAGGACAGUGAAGAUAAUGUUUUUAGAUGUGUUUUGAUCCUUACAUUGUUAUAAGAAAUGAGAAAAUGUUCACUUUGCAUUCUCUAAUUGGUUUGUUUUCAGAUUUAAUUGUUUUAUAUACCUUAGUUGUUAAUGUAUAGUUAAUAUGUUGGCAAACAGGUAAAAAGAGGAAUCAAGAAA